UGUCAACAUAAUAUGAAUAUUUACAGCUAACAAUGCUGUAAAUGUGAAUCUUUUAAUUAUUCAUGUAAACAGCUUGUUAGGCGUACUAUUAUUUGUGGACUAAGUGAAUGUAACAUAGUCGUGUGACUCCAAACAUUGAUUCCUCUAAACGGGUUUAAACAAAACGAGAAAAAGUGUUUGUAAAUGUCUAUGAACUAAUAUUCUGUUUUCUGUGAAGUUCAUGGACCAACGGAAUGAAACUAACAGGAGAUAUAAAGUUAAGCUGUUCAUCACAUGACAUGUAAUCACCAGCACGUUGGUGCAGAUACGAGUAAAUGCUCUUUAUAUAUAUAAACACUUGGCUGCCUCUCGACGGGAGCUCAACUCCGUUUAAAACAAACUCAAAAGAUCUUUAAGAAGAAACAGAGCCAAUCUGUCGCCAACAUGACUAAUCCUGCUGGCAGAGGCUCUGCGCGGUUACCACGGUUACCACGGCAACGAGGGGGGUGUGCCAUCCACGACGCGGUACGAAGGGCUGCAGGAGGAUGCGUUUACCGUCGGCCCAUCCGUGUCAAUAAGAGGAAUACUGAGCUGGAGUCAUCGCAGCCGUAGGGUCACAGCAGCGGCACAUGUUUGUAGUCGUCUCUAAUCAACUAAUGACUUCAUUAAUCCGCUUAAGCUCCUCUUUUGUGGAACCAGCUUCCACUUUCUGUCCAGGGGGCAGAUUCGGUCAGCUCAUCUAAGAUAAAGCUUAAGACUUUCCUCUUUGAUAUGGCUUAUAGUUAGGGCUGGCUCAGGUUAGUCUGGACCAGCCCUUAGUUAAGCUGCUGUAGGCUUAGACUCACAGGUUUCCAUGCAUCAUGGUUCUAUCUGGAUCCUGUUCCUGCCUCCUGCCGUGGCCCUGCUGACACCUGCUGCUGCCAUCAUCAGUAUUAUUACUAUUUUAAAUAUGAAUCAUAUUACUAUUACUGUCCACAUAAACCACCAUUUCCUAAAGGCGUGUGCUUUUCCUCCCCACAGGCUUCUGUGGAUGGUGGUUCUAUGUGAUGGUGGUUCUAUGAGGUGGGGGUUCUAUCUGAUGGUGGUUCUAUGGGAUGGUGGUUCUAUCUGAUGGUGGUUCUAUGAGGUGGUCGUUCUAUGUGAUGGUGGUUCUAUGAGGUGGUCGUUCUAUGUGAUGGUGGUUCUAUGAGGUGGUCGUUCUAUCUGAUGGUGGUUCUAUGAGGUGGUGGUUCUAUGGGAUGGUGGUUCUAUCUGAUGGUGGUUCUAUGUGAUGGUGGUUCUCUCUGAUGGUGGUUCUAUGUGAUGGUGGUUCUAUGUGAUGGUGGUGGUCCCUGCAGUGGUCCUGCAGUACACCUGCUCACUACUCCCAUUAUUUGAAUCAUCUCUGUCAUAUGAAUUGAAUGUAUCGUUCAUCUUCCACAUUGUUCAUUCUGUCCUCAUGACAUCAUCGUAGUCUGUCCAUCAGGAGACGGAUCCUCCUCUGACGUUCUCACUGAGGGUUCUUCCCUUUUCUCCCCAUGGAAGGGUUUCAUUGUUUGGGGAGUUUUUCCUGUGAGGGUAUCUGGACAGAGGAUGUCACAUGUGUACAGACUAAUACCCACUGAGGCAAAUUUGUAAUUUGCAAUUUUAGCUCUACAAAAUAAAAUAAAUUGAAUUGAAUUCAUUAUUUUCUAAUUGAUUUGUGACUUGGUCAACGUUUCUCUUAUAUCAUAAUCAAUUAGAUAUUUUUAUAGCUCAACAAUCCAAAAUCCCACAUUUCCCUUAGAGGGAUUUUAGAAUCUGUUUCAGAACAUAGCGACAUGAUGGAGCCUCACGUCUCUCAUCCGAUCUCCUAUAAUAAUCUACAAUAAUACAGGAGAACUCUAUUGGACCGAGCGGAUGUGUUUUAGUGAUAAACCACACAGGUGACCUCAGCAGGUCGCAGGUCUGCCGUGCGUUCAUGGUCCUCUUGAUUGUUCACCCUACAGAUGACUUGUUAGGCCACAAUUAGGCCUGACCUCUGACCUCACCUGCCACCAGAGUGCCAUUCAGGUUCCAUUUAAAAUCAUUUAAAUGCCUUUUUAGUAAUACACCAAUCAUAUAAUAAUACAUACGUCGAGGUUCAAGGAGAAGAGGUUUACAUUACGUUUCCAUGAAAUAUGAGAUCAUUCUGUCAACACAGUUGACAGAAUGAUCCAUAAAGAAGAAAACCCGUCUGUCUUCCCGCAGCCUGACCCUGCUCCGGUGCGCUCUGUUAAUGGGCCCUGAACGCCUCACGGGGCCCUCUCUUUGUCCCCUCCAUCUCACCGCCUCCGUCUCUGCAGAGAAACACC
This is a long non-coding RNA of Gasterosteus aculeatus aculeatus (three-spined stickleback), 2291 nucleotides long. NCBI's taxonomy places the organism in Eukaryota, Metazoa, Chordata, Actinopteri, Perciformes, Gasterosteidae. The record is from Ensembl.